GCCCUGGGCCAUGAGAUGCUACUAAACUAUUCUUUCCACAGUUUAUCGGCUUGCUGUCAGUGAAUGUGCCUGUAACCCUUAGAAACCCUCAGCAGAGCACAGUUGAACCCUGACUGCAGACAGCGCUGACACACUGUUGCAAACCAACAGCACAGGAGACACCUACUAAGGUAAUGUAACUCACAGGAUGGACUACUGUAACAAACCCUCAGCUGUGAGGGGUAUUUGUCCUUUGCAGCCUCUAGGGGCAAACUAAAAUAUUCCCAUUUACUGACAGCAAGCCGAGAUCUUGAAGAGGGAUCGAUCAGCAUAUUAGAAAGCCAUUUCUUAUGUAAAUAAAAAAAAAAAAAAACUUUAUUGAAAACACGUUAACAGACAAAAGGACCCGGCUACGGAUGAGCUAUAGGACCCCAAAUACCAGCAGGAGAACGAAGACUAACCCUACAGAAGCGAUAAGUAGGUAACAAGCCGCCAUCCUGCCCUGUCACAGUACAGACCAGGCCGCACCAAUAUCUACCCGAAUCCUCCACAUCCCCCCAAAACCAAUAUCACCAUGGUAACAGCCCCCCUCUCCCGCCAGCUCAUGUAACCCCGUCAGUAGCGGGCACAAGAGCUGGCCGCCCCCGAUGCCCGCGGAUUCCCUCCCGGCCUCUCUCCCACCAGCCUCCGUCACUUACGUGAUUAGUAUAGACUAGAAGACCGGAAGCCGGCCGAAGAAUACUUUUAUACCCACCAAAUCUCGCGAGAGCUGAAACGAGCAUGCGCAAAGAGCUGAUGCUCUCCCGCUGAUGACGUCAUGCUGGUUACAGGGCCGUGCCCUUAUAUGGAUGGGUAUAAAUGGAGACGCCUCGGUCGGGGAGGGCCUCUUUGUUGACCACGCUGCAUGGAUGACGGACUCGUGUCAGGACCGGUUUUAUGUGUGAAAGAUGACCUUGAAGAAUGAGCACUGAUUGCCCAUCUACACUAUGGCUGGAGUGACCAACAUUGGGUGGGAAUUUUAAGGUGGAAAAAAAUGGGCACGCGCAAGGAUCUGAGCGACUUUGAUAGGGGCCAGAUUGUGAUGGCUAGACUGGGUCAGAGCAUCUCCAAAAUGGCAGGUCUUGUGGGGUGUUCCAGGUUUGCAGUGGUUAGUACCUACCAAAAGUGGUCCAAGGAAGGGGUGCCUGUGAACCAGUGACAGGGUCAUCGGCACCCGAGGCUAAUUGAUGAGUCUGGGGAGCAAAAGUUGUUUCAUCUGGUCCAGUCCCACAGAAGAGCUAUGGUGGCACAGAUUGCUGAAAAAGUAAAUGCAGACUGACAGAAAGGUGUUGGAGCACACGGUGCAUUGCAGCUUGCUGCGUAUGGGGCUACAUAGGUGUAGUGUUCAGUGCACACCCUGACUCAUGUCCACCUCUGAGUGCAGACAGUGGUCAAGUGUGCCUUAGGCCUGGAGCAGGGAGCAGUGGAGGAAGGCGGUGUGGCCUGGUGAAUUGCAGGGCCACAGCUCGUGACUACAAUGGUUGUCCAUUCCAAAAAAGUAAUCUACAGUGUUAGUGGGUUCAGUGUAUGCAGUAAGCAGCAGUGCUCCCUCUAGUGGUGGCAUGUAGCCAUAAUGUGGAGUGUUUUCUGGAAGUGCUUGGGUCAGUCAGGCUAGAGUCGAGUGCAAAUGCUGCAGUCCUCCUUAUUUCACAAGUAAACUAUGGAGCGCCAGGUGUCUAAGUGACUUUGCUGGAGCCAUGUGGACAGUUGCUUGCUGCUUACCUGGAGAACAGCUGUCACCAGGGUCCACUAUGGGAAGAAGAUAAGCCAGCAGAGGCAAUGUUCUGCUGGAAAAUCUCUGGUCCUGGCACCAUGUGGAUGGGACAUGUACUGCCUACCUAUAACUUGUGCAGAAAGUUAACCCCUUCCCCCUCAUAGCAGUUGUGGCCUCGGUCAGCGGCAUAAUGACCCAGACUUGAUACAGAAAUGAGGAACAUGAGAUUAAGGUGAUGCCUUGUCUCCAAAUUCCCCAGAUCUCAACCUGACUGCCAUCUGUGGGAUGUAAUGGCAAAACAGGUCUGACUGGAUGAUGACCCUCAUGACUUAUCUGCUGCUAACUUCUGCCAGAUGCCGCAGGACACUUCAGAGGUCUUGUGAAGUCUUGAUAGGUUAGAGCUGGUUGGGUGGGAUGAGGGACCUACACAAUAUUAGGCAGGUAGUUUUAAUAUUUUUGGUGGUUGUAGUCUGGAUCUGGAAGAGCGGGUGAGUAUUAACCAUGCUACACCCCCCAUUUGUGGAUGGGAUAUGACGUAAGGCUGCUGGGUGAAGCGCAAUGCCAAGCCUCGGCUGUAAUGUCGGAAACUGGGUCCAAAAACUGAUGGUGUGUGUGCGUAGGCCCAAAGUCCCUCUCCCUUUUGCAUGUCCUGAUCCUAAAGACUGGUUCCCUGUAGCUGUGCAGAGGGGAAUCCGGACAGUACUGGUAUAUUACCUCUAAUGUAUAGAUCUGAGAUGUGCAGUAGGGUUUCCAUGUUAGACUGUAUUUCCUGGUCAAUAAAGUUGCUUUUUGUUUACAGAA
This is a long non-coding RNA of Bufo gargarizans (Asiatic toad), 2533 nucleotides long. RefSeq lists it as uncharacterized. The record is from RefSeq and is a predicted model, not a curated record. The transcript is spliced from 2 exons. NCBI's taxonomy places the organism in Eukaryota, Metazoa, Chordata, Amphibia, Anura, Bufonidae.